AGUCUCUGCACGAAUAUUUUUUUCAAACUUUUUUGAUGCACGUAUAUUUUUUUUCUUUCUGUAUCCCCUGCGCGAUUUUUAUUUUUGCCCCCCCCAUCACUUUUCUAAUGGUCCGCCCCUAAUGCAUAUUUGGGUGUGUAUUCAUAUAAUUUUUUAGCAUGCCUGACAUGCAUGGGAUCUGGGUGCUCGCCUGCGAGUAGCCCGCUGGUUGCAGGCAGGUAUUUUACAGUUGUGUAUAUUAUAAAACGAUCAGUAUUAGGUAUACUAAACAAUGUCCACCUAUUAUUAAUACCGUUAUUGUGAUGGGUUUAUUAACUUUUUAAAUCAUG
Paramuricea clavata is the source of this 329-nucleotide non-coding RNA. The record is from the annotation of a GenBank genome assembly. Lineage: Eukaryota; Metazoa; Cnidaria; Anthozoa; Malacalcyonacea; Plexauridae.